RNAcentral lists this ribosomal RNA (464 nucleotides) under uncultured bacterium. RNAcentral's name for it is "partial 16S ribosomal RNA". It matches the Rfam family "Bacterial small subunit ribosomal RNA", at positions 29 to 507 of the family's 1533-position model. The record is from RNAcentral.
ACGCACGCUGGCGGUGUGCUUCACACCUGCAAGUCGAACGGUAAGGCCCUUUCGGGGGUACACGAGUGGCGAACGGGUGAGUAACACGUGAGUAACCUGCCCUCAUCUCUGGGAUAACAGUCGGAAACGGUUGCUAAUACUGGAUAUGAGCCUGCAAGGCAUCUUGUGGGUUGGAAAGAUUUUUUGGUUGGGGAUGGACUCGCGGCCUAUCAGCUUGUUGGUGAGGUAGUGGCUCACCAAGGCUUCGACGGGUAGCCGGCCUGAGAGGGUGACCGGCCACAUUGGGACUGAGAUACGGCCCAAACUCCUACGGGAGGCAGCAGUGGGGAAUAUUGCACAAUGGACGGAAGUCUGAUGCAGCAACGCCGCGUGCGGGAUGACGGCCUUCGGGUUGUAAACCGCUUUCAAUUGUGACGAAGCUUUUUGUGACGGUAGCAGUAGAAGAAGCACCGGCUAACUACGUG